This 119-nucleotide ribosomal RNA is filed under the name Amborella trichopoda. The record is from RNAcentral. Lineage: Eukaryota; Viridiplantae; Streptophyta; Magnoliopsida; Amborellales; Amborellaceae.
CGGUGCUGUCAUAACAACACUAAUGCACCGGAUCCCAUCAGAACUCCGAUGUUAAGCUUGCUUUUGCAAGAGUAAUACUAUGAUGGGUGAGCUUCUGGGAAUUCCUUGUGCCACACUGC